This 497-nucleotide ribosomal RNA is filed under the name uncultured bacterium. Its description in RNAcentral is "partial 16S ribosomal RNA". It matches the Rfam family "Bacterial small subunit ribosomal RNA", at positions 28 to 507 of the family's 1533-position model. The record is from RNAcentral.
GAUGAACGCUGGCGGCGUGCCUAAUACAUGCAAGUCGAGCGAACAGACGAGGAGCUUGCUCCUCUGACGUUAGCGGCGGACGGGAGUGUCACACGUGGAUAACCUACCUAUAAGACUGGGAUAACUUCGGGAAACCGGAGCUAAUACCGGAUAAUAUAUUGAACCGCAUGGUUCAAUAGUGAAAGACGGUUUUGCUGUCACGUAUCGAUGGAUCCGCGCCGCAUUAGCUAGUUGGUAAGGUAACGGCUUACCAAGGCAACGAUGCGUAGCCGACGUGAGAGGGUGGUCGGCCGCACUGGAACUGAGACACGGUCCAGACUCCUACGGGAGGCAGCAGUAGGGAAUCUGCCGCAAUGGGCGAAAGCCUGACGGAGCAACGCCGCGUGAGUGAUGAAGGUCUUCGGAUCGUAAAACUCUGUUAUUAGGGAAGAACAAAUGUGUAAGUAACUAUGCACGUCUUGACGGUACCUAAUCAGAAAGCCACGGCUAACUACGUG